RNAcentral lists this transfer RNA (72 nucleotides) under Ipomoea nil (Japanese morning glory). It matches the Rfam family "tRNA". Rfam says of the family: Transfer RNA (tRNA) molecules are approximately 80 nucleotides in length. Their secondary structure includes four short double-helical elements and three loops (D, anti-codon, and T loops). Lineage: Eukaryota; Viridiplantae; Streptophyta; Magnoliopsida; Solanales; Convolvulaceae. The record is from Rfam by way of RNAcentral.
GUCGUUGUAGUAUAGUGGUGAGUAUCCCCGCCUGUCACGCGGGAGACCCGGGUUCGAUCCCCGGCAAUGGCG